AGAGUUUGAUUCUGGCUCAGGANNNACGCUAGCGGCAGGCUUAAUACAUGCAAGUCGUGGGGCAGCAUGGUGUAGCAAUACACUGAUGGCGACCGGCAAACGGGUGCGGAACACGUACGCAACCUUCCUUUAACUGGAGAAUAGCCCGGGGAAACCCGGAUUAAUACUCCGUAACAUUAUGAAGUGGCAUCACUUUAUAAUUAUAGCUCCGGCGGUUAAAGAUGGGCGUGCGCCUGAUUAGGUAGUUGGCGGGGUAACGGCCCACCAAGCCUACGAUCAGUAACUGGUGUGAGAGCACGACCAGUCACACGGGCACUGAGACACGGGCCCGACUCCUACGGGAGGCAGCAGUAAGGAAUAUUGGUCAAUGGACGCAAGUCUGAACCAGCCAUGCCGCGUGGAGGAUGAAGGUCCUCUGGAUUGUAAACUUCUUUUAUUUGGGAAGAAACCCACGAUUUCUAUUGUGGUUGACGGUACCAGAUGAAUAAGCACCGGCUAACUCCGUGCCAGCAGCCGCGGUAAUACGGAGGGUGCAAGCGUUAUCCGGAUUCACUGGGUUUAAAGGGUGCGUAGGCGGGUUGGUAAGUCCGUGGUGAAAUCUCCAAGCUUAACUUGGAAACUGCCGUGGAUACUAUCAAUCUUGAAUAUAGUGGAGGUGAGCGGAAUAUGUCAUGUAGCGGUGAAAUGCUUAGAUAUGACAUAGAACACCCAUUGCGAAGGCAGCUCGCUACACUAUUAUUGACGCUGNNNCACGAAAGCGUGGGGAUCAAACAGGANNAGNUACCCUGGUAGUCCACGCCCUAAACGAUGAUUACUCGACAUCAGCGAU
This 829-nucleotide ribosomal RNA is filed under the name uncultured bacterium. RNAcentral's name for it is "bacterial SSU rRNA". It matches the Rfam family "Bacterial small subunit ribosomal RNA", at positions 8 to 830 of the family's 1533-position model. The record is from RNAcentral.